CGACGGUGGAGGGACUCCGCUUGCUCUCGUCGUAAUUCGAGAGGUCGCAAGUUUCUGACUUGCAGGUCGAGGCCGAAGGGAAUGCUUUCAAUCUGGAUUCAGACCAAGAGAAGUCUAGGAAGGAUUGAGUUUGUGGAUUCGUACUGCUACUCUGCGGUGGCGGUGGCGGCGGUAGCGGUGAGUGUUGGAGAUUCAAAAAGGAGCUAAAGGAUCGACGGUGGCGGUG
This 226-nucleotide long non-coding RNA is filed under the name Elaeis guineensis (African oil palm). RNAcentral's name for it is "long non-coding RNA (EGUI_LNC041145)". Lineage: Eukaryota; Viridiplantae; Streptophyta; Magnoliopsida; Arecales; Arecaceae. The record is from RNAcentral.